GAUGAAGAACGCAGCGAAAUGCGAUAAGUAGUGUGAAUUGCAGAAUUCAGUGAAUCAUCGAAUCUUUGAACGCACAUUGCGCCCCUUGGUAUUCCAUGGGGCAUGCCUGUUCGAGCGUCAUUUGUACCUUCAAGCUUUGCUUGGUGUUGGGUGUUUGUCUCGCCUUUGCGUGUAGACUCGCCUUAAAAUAAUUGGCAGCCGGCGUAUUGAUUUCGGAGCGCAGUACAUCUCGCGCUUUGCACUCAUAACGACAGCGUCCAAAAGUACAUUUUACACUCUUGACCUCGGAUCAGGUAGGGAUACCCGCUGAACUUAAGCAUAUCAAAUAAGCGGAGGA
Molecule: unclassified non-coding RNA, 337 nt
Filed under: soil metagenome
Description: partial contains 5.8S ribosomal RNA, internal transcribed spacer 2, and large subunit ribosomal RNA
Rfam family: 5.8S ribosomal RNA (bases 1-120)
Source: RNAcentral